This 373-nucleotide ribosomal RNA is filed under the name uncultured bacterium. RNAcentral's name for it is "bacterial SSU rRNA". It matches the Rfam family "Bacterial small subunit ribosomal RNA", at positions 524 to 898 of the family's 1533-position model. The record is from RNAcentral.
UACGGAGGGUGCAAGCGUUAUCCGGAAUCAUUGGGUUUAAAGGGUCCGCAGGCGGAUUUAUAAGUCAGUGGUGAAAGCCUACAGCUCAACUGUAGAACUGCCAUUGAUACUGUAGAUCUUGAAUUCGGUCGAAGUGGGCGGAAUAUGACAUGUAGCGGUGAAAUGCUUAGAUAUGUCAUAGAACACCGAUAGCGAAGGCAGCUCACUAGGCCUGGAUUGACGCUCAGGGACGAAAGCGUGGGGAGCAAACAGGAUUAGAUACCCUGGUAGUCCACGCCGUAAACUAUGAUUACUCGUUCUCAGCUCUUAAGGAGUUGGGGACUAAGCGAAAGUGAUAAGUAAUCCACCUGGGGAGUACGAUCGCAAGGUUGAA